This 87-nucleotide transfer RNA is filed under the name bacterium. RNAcentral's name for it is "tRNA-Leu". It matches the Rfam family "tRNA". From Rfam's summary of the family: Transfer RNA (tRNA) molecules are approximately 80 nucleotides in length. Their secondary structure includes four short double-helical elements and three loops (D, anti-codon, and T loops). Further hydrogen bonds mediate the characteristic L-shaped molecular structure. tRNAs have two regions of fundamental functional importance: the anti-codon, which is responsible for specific mRNA codon recognition, and the 3' end, to which the tRNAs corresponding amino acid is attached (by aminoacyl-tRNA synthetases). tRNAs cope with the degeneracy of the genetic code in two manners: having more than one tRNA (with a specific anti-codon) for a particular amino acid; and 'wobble' base-pairing, i.e. permitting non-standard base-pairing at the 3rd anti-codon position. The record is from RNAcentral. RNAcentral also lists the same sequence under 1 other name.
GCCCGCGUGGCGGAACUGGUAGACGCGCAGGACUCAAAAUCCUGUGAAGGCAACUUCGUGUCGGUUCGAUCCCGACCGCGGGCACCA